CCUCUUGUUUCAUGCAGGGGAAAGAGAAAGAGAGAUUCAUUUUCAAGUUUACGCAAACCGGGACAAAUUUAGUCUAAAUCAUUAAUAAUUGUGGUGUUAUCAGUCAAUGUUAAUAUUGUGGUGAAAAAAUCGAUUAAUCAACCAGCUCUGCUAACAAUGAUUAGUGACAGUGAAUUACUACGACAGGAGCCGAAAGUGGGAGCAGAUCUUUUUGCCUGGAAAGACGCCACUGAUAACAUCCAAAUGCAUGUCAUGAAGGAGCAGGAUGCUACAAAAAAAUUGACCCAAAUUUACUUCUCCCUUCUCACCGACAAGUACGGUGAUGUCAGAGAUAUGACUGUCAACAAGGGACCUGCGAAUGUGUGUCUUGUAGGUAGAACAGAGUUGACCGUGUCUCAUUUUACAAGCGACGCUUUGGACCUCGAGGGGUGUAAAGUUAAGGAGCUUGAAGAACUAUUUGGCUGGAAAGUUGACCCUACCUUGGCAUACUCUUUCCACAUUUACACUGACAAUGAUUGGGUUGCUGACCAACUCAAAUUCCGCAUUAGAAGAAAACUUGGAGUGGUGUGUGCCAAAGCCCCGUACACCUCAGAAGUAGUGUUGGCGAAACAUGCUGGGAGUAUUGAUGAUCAUUUACGGCAGUUCCUCCACCGUCUUCCCCAAAUUAGGGAAGAUUAUUUCAACAACCCACCUCCUCCUCCUCCAGACAAACUAAAAAACCCGCGGCCACUCCCACCGUCACAAACGAGACGACAAUGUGAGCUGUGUGGUUUUGUUUUUGUAAGGGAUGAACACCAGCCAUAUAAAAGUAUGCAUUUCUUUUCCUUAUUUUGCGAAACAAUUUUUCUGGUGUUAUAUACAAUAUUAAUUUGUCUAGACAAGCCACUAUUCCGGACCAAACGCAUUAACUUGUGAUCUCUGCACCUGCAGCUUUGAAACACAAACAAGCAGACAAUCUUAUCGAUCCAAGUACCAUCCAGGUGCAGAACCACAAAAGAGGAAUAAAUACGGUAUCCCUGAUGUUAGUGAGGAGGACGCUGCUAAAUGUGGUGCCAUAAUGGAGCUUCUCCCAAUGGAAGAUGGGUCGAAGACGACCACGUAUAGGUGCAUGUGGGGACGAGAGGGUGGACAAGCGUGUGAUAGGAGGAACACCGGAUUGGACAAUUCUCGCGCCCACGCCUGUACCCAUUUAGGACUAAAACCCCAUACCUGCCCUGCAUCUGGAUGUAACUAUUCCUCUUCAUUUUACGGCAGUACCGUCAAGCACUACAAAAGUCAACAUCAAGGAGAAGAAAAACCAGAGGAACAAGAUGAGAAAAGUGAUGAUGAACCCCCAGAGAAAAGGACAAAAUCUUCAGCUCCAUUACGAAAAUUAAAUACACGAAAAACUUAUUAAGGGACAAUGAUUAACUGCUUACCUUGUUUCAUGCGAUCAAUUUCAUAUGGACUCAAAAA
This is an RNA transcript of Folsomia candida, 1455 nucleotides long. It is a transcript of the gene named zinc finger protein 525-like, with no coding region annotated. The record is from RefSeq and is a predicted model, not a curated record. The transcript has 5 exons. NCBI's taxonomy places the organism in Eukaryota, Metazoa, Arthropoda, Collembola, Entomobryomorpha, Isotomidae.